UACGUAGGGGGCAAGCGUUGUCCGGAUUCAUUGGGCGUAAAGAGCGUGUAGGCGGCCAGGUAGGUCGGUUGUGAAAACUGGAGGCUCAACCUUCAGACGUCGACCGAAACCAUCUGGCUAGAGUCCGGGAGAGGAGAGUGGAAUUCCUGGUGUAGCGGUGAAAUGCGCAGAUAUCAGGAGGAACACCGGUGGCGAAGGCGGGUCUCUGGGCCGAUAUUGACGCUGAGGAGCGAAAGCGUGGGGAGCGAACAGG
RNAcentral lists this ribosomal RNA (253 nucleotides) under uncultured bacterium. Its description in RNAcentral is "partial 16S ribosomal RNA". It matches the Rfam family "Bacterial small subunit ribosomal RNA", at positions 524 to 776 of the family's 1533-position model. The record is from RNAcentral.